RNAcentral lists this transfer RNA (100 nucleotides) under Nitrososphaerota archaeon. RNAcentral describes it as "Thaumarchaeota archaeon tRNA-Leu". It matches the Rfam family "tRNA". Rfam says of the family: Transfer RNA (tRNA) molecules are approximately 80 nucleotides in length. Their secondary structure includes four short double-helical elements and three loops (D, anti-codon, and T loops). Lineage: Archaea; Thermoproteati; Nitrososphaerota. The record is from RNAcentral.
GCGGGGGUUGUAGAGCCUGGCCAAAUAACAAAAGUUUGGAUACGCAGGACUUAAGAUCCUGUCCUUCAGGGGUUCGUGGGUUCGAAUCCCACCUCCCGCA